RNAcentral lists this ribosomal RNA (553 nucleotides) under Glyptothorax ngapang. RNAcentral describes it as "partial 16S ribosomal RNA". It matches the Rfam family "Bacterial large subunit ribosomal RNA", at positions 1851 to 2608 of the family's 2925-position model. Lineage: Eukaryota; Metazoa; Chordata; Actinopteri; Siluriformes; Sisoridae. The record is from RNAcentral.
GGUCUUGCCUGCCCAGUGACAAUGUUAAACGGCCGCGGUAUUUUGACCGUGCGAAGGUAGCGCAAUCACUUGUCUUUUAAAUGAAGACCUGUAUGAAUGGUGAAACGAGGGCUUAACUGUCUCCCUUUUCUAGUCAAUGAAAUUGAUCUGCCCGUGCAGAAGCGGACAUAAUAAUACAAGACGAGAAGACCCUUUGGAGCUUAAGAUAUAAAGAUCAUCUAUGUCAAUGGGCCCCAACACGGCAACAAACUAAAUAGCAACUGAUCUUAAUCUUCGGUUGGGGCGACCACGGGAGAAAAUAAAGCUCCCACGCGGACUGGGGUAAACCCUAAAACCAAGAAAAACAUUUCUAAGCAACAGAACUUCUGACCAUUAAGAUCCGGCUACACGCCGACCAACGGACCAAGUUACCCUAGGGAUAACAGCGCAAUCCCCUUUCAGAGUCCAUAUCGACAAGGGGGUUUACGACCUCGAUGUUGGAUCAGGACAUCCUAAUGGUGCAGCCGCUAUUAAGGGUUCGUUUGUUCAACGAUUAAAGUCCUACGUGAUCUGA